UCUGUGCCCGGUGUUGUGCAGCAGUCCCUGUGUGUGAAGGCGUCUCAGAUUCUCCCCCAGCGUCCGGUGCAGCAGGCGAAGAGUCGUCCGACAACUCCAUAACAGCCUUUUCUCCCAUCACUCUCCUCUCCCUCAUCCCCUCACUCCUGUCCCCCUCCUCCUCUCCCUCGCCACUCACUCCUAUUCCUCUCCUCCUCUCCCUCACUCCUAUCCCCCUCCUCCUCUCCCUCAUCCCUCACUCCCAUCUCCCUCCUCCUCCUCUCCCUCAUCCCUCCCUCCUAUCUUCUCCCUCCUCCUCUCCCUCACUCCUAUCCCCCUCCUCCUCUCCCUGGCCCCUCACUCCGGGGCUGGAACAGCAGGGGCCUCAUGCCCACGAAGGUGAAGUUGUAGGUGUCGGGGAGCCCCCGGUGCGCCGUGCCGUUGAAGUGGCUCCAGGAGAAGGCCGGCAGCCCCCCCUGCACUGUGGGCCCACUGAUGGCCUCCGCCGCCAGCUGCUGGGCCAGAGCGUAAUCAGUCACCUGCAGGAGAGGAGAGGAGCGGGGUCACACCCUGGGUCCCCAGUCCUGCUGCUCUGGGGAGGGGGGUCAGUGUGUCUAGAGCAGGGGUCCCCACUCUCUGGGGAGGGGGGGUCAGUGCGUCUAGAGCAGGGGUCUCCAGCCUCUGUGUCUCUGUGGAGGGGGGGUCAGUGUGUCUAGAGCAGGGGUCCCCACUCUCUGGGAGGGCAGGGCCCAGUCAGUUCAGGACAGUCGACUUCAGUGUUUGUGACGAUUGAGGGUUCACAGUCUCCCCCAAGGCUGUGACCAUGCCCGCCCAGCAGGGGGCCGCGCUGGGAGAGAGGGGGCGGCCGUGUGCAGGGAUCUGGCCGUACCUUGGUGUCGUAGCAGCCUUCGGGAGAGGGGUGCUCCGACUGCAGGUCGUUCCGGCAGCAGAUGGCCAGACAGGGGUUCUCCUCGGAGUAGGGGUCCCGCUUGUAAUCUGACCACAGGAGGGGUGGACAUAAUUAACCAAUCGGAGGGCAGCAACUUCCUGGCAUGGAUUCGACAUGAAUCCAGGAACUAUCCCAUGGAACCUAGACAUCCCUCUCCCUCAAACCUCCGGAGGAGUGCUUGCUCGUGACCGCAUCUCCGUUUCUGGAUUUAAUGAGCUGUUCCGAUCGCUGUCUGAGCUUGUUGCGCAGAGGACAGGGAAACAUGAGACAUUGUGCACACACCUGCAGAACCACACCUGCGCAGAGGAGGGGAGCUCGGGAACAGUGCAUUCCCAACAGCUGACCGUUUUGGGGAACCCCCCCCCCCCCGGAGACUCCGGUUAGCUAUCUAAGGCCAGGCUGGGACGUCCUGACCGAAGGGGUUCCUGCGAGACUCCGGCGAUGUGCAGCAGGCAGGUCGGCCACGUCAGUCGGGAUGCUGGAUUGGAACAAACCUCCGGAUUC
RNAcentral lists this long non-coding RNA (1432 nucleotides) under Lepisosteus oculatus (spotted gar). RNAcentral describes it as "lncRNA (ENSLOCG00000022964.1)". Lineage: Eukaryota; Metazoa; Chordata; Actinopteri; Semionotiformes; Lepisosteidae. The record is from RNAcentral.